CAUCGCCACGGUAAUACGGAGGGCGCAAGCGUUAAUCGGAAUUACUGGGCGUAAAGCGCACGCAGGCGGUCUGUCAAGUCAGAUGUGAAAUCCCCGGGCUUAACCUGGGAACUGCAUCUUAUACUGGGUAACUGGAGUGCAGUAGAGGGUAGUGGAAUUUCCGGUGUAGCGGUGAAAUGCGUAGAUAUCGGAAGGAACACCAGUGGCGAAGGCGGCUACCUGGACUGAGACUGACACUGAGGCGCGAGAGCGUGGGGAGCAAACAGGAUUAGAUACCCGCGUAGUCCCUGUCUCUUAUACA
This 301-nucleotide ribosomal RNA is filed under the name uncultured bacterium. RNAcentral describes it as "partial 16S ribosomal RNA". It matches the Rfam family "Bacterial small subunit ribosomal RNA", at positions 510 to 808 of the family's 1533-position model. The record is from RNAcentral.